RNAcentral lists this long non-coding RNA (901 nucleotides) under Equus asinus (donkey). Its description in RNAcentral is "lncRNA (ENSEASG00005027387.1)". Lineage: Eukaryota; Metazoa; Chordata; Mammalia; Perissodactyla; Equidae. The record is from RNAcentral.
GCAGAGCUAGGCGUUGAGGGAUGGACAUAGAAGAAGAAAGAAAGAACAAGAAGAGCCAAGAUUUCAGUCAAUAAGCAGAGCCUUGGGACAUGAGCGGGGUUUGCGCUCUUGGAGCUGGAGCGAGUGGCCAGUCUCCCUGUCAAUCGUCGCAGACCCGCCAAUGACGACGUGUGAAGGCGGGGCCAAAGGAACGCUGUCCAGGGAAGCGAAACGCUUGACCGGGCUCUUUAAAAUGUGGAUUGUGCAGCGCGGCUUCCGUGGACCGUUUCCCUCCAGGAUGGGGGAACAUGGCGGCUCCGUCUCCUGCUGUCCCCAAAGUGCUUGUUGCUGCUCAUAUCUGCUUGUCAGAGAACCUAAGUAGCCACUGUGCCUCACCUGAUGGAAGACAAAGCAGUAUCAAAGGUUUUCAUCCUAGAAGCAGGGAGCCCAUAAGGCUUUGGCACCUGCAGGAAGCCACCCUGAUUGCAGGGCUUCUGGCACUUUCCAGCCUACUGCUACAUAUAAAUCAUCGAUAAACAUGAGAUUGCAAUUAAGAAGAAACAAAGCACUUUGAAUGAGAGACAGCAGAAGAAAAACAGCCCAAUCAAACCUGAAAGGGCCUCAGAUAUUGAAAAUGUGCGUUAGUCUGAGAAAGGAAUGUACUGCUCCACUCAUUUUGCAGACCUAGAAUGUAAAACUGAUAUCUUGCAUAUGUUUAAAGAAAUAAGAGAAUACUGGAAACAUGAACAAGGAAUAAAGGGCUACCAAAAAUGAUCAGAUUUCUUCUUUCUCUUCUCUCACUGAAAGAUUCAGUCCAAAAGCAAUUAGGUGAGGCCAAGCAAUGUAGGUAUUUGUGUUGGAGGAGCUAGGGUGACCCUGCGUUACGUGAUGUCAGAGCUUGAGCAGGGUGAGCAGAGCAGCC